AUUGAACGCUGGCGGCAUGCUUUACACAUGCAAGUCGAACGGCAGCACGGGGGCAACCCUGGUGGCGAGUGGCGAACGGGUGAGUAAUAUACCGGAACGUACCCGGAAAUGGGGGAUAACGUAGCGAAAGUUACGCUAAUACCGCAUAUGCCCUAAGGGGGAAAGCGGGGGAUUCGCAAGAACCUCGCGUUUUCGGAGCGGCCGAUAUCGGAUUAGCUAGUAGGUGAGGUAAAGGCUCACCUAGGCGACGAUCCGUAGCUGGUCUGAGAGGACGACCAGCCACACUGGAACUGAGACACGGUCCAGACUCCUACGGGAGGCAGCAGUGGGGAAUUUUGGACAAUGGGCGCAAGCCUGAUCCAGCCAUGCCGCGUGAGUGAAGAAGGCC
This 388-nucleotide ribosomal RNA is filed under the name uncultured bacterium. RNAcentral describes it as "bacterial SSU rRNA". It matches the Rfam family "Bacterial small subunit ribosomal RNA", at positions 29 to 416 of the family's 1533-position model. The record is from RNAcentral.